AGCGAACGCUGGCGGCAGGCCUAACACAUGCAAGUCGAACGAACUCUUCGGAGUUAGUGGCGGACGGGUGAGUAACACGUGGGAACGUGCCUUUAGGUUCGGAAUAACUCAGGGAAACUUGUGCUAAUACCGAAUGUGCCCUUCGGGGGAAAGAUUUAUCGCCUUUAGAGCGGCCCGCGUCUGAGUAGCUAGUUGGUGAGGUAAAGGCUCACCACGGCGACGGUCAGUAGCUGGUCUGAGAGGAUGAUCAGCCACAUUGGGACUGAGACACGGCCCAAACUCCUACGGGAGGCAGCAGUGGGGAAUCUUGCGCAAUGGGCGAAAGCCUGACGCAGCCAUGCCGCGUGAAUGAUGAAGGUCUUAGGAUUGUAAAAUUCUUUCACCGGGGACGAUAAUGACGGUACCCGGAGAAGAAGCCCCGGCUAACUUCGUGCCAGCCGCCGCGGUAA
RNAcentral lists this ribosomal RNA (449 nucleotides) under uncultured bacterium. RNAcentral describes it as "partial 16S ribosomal RNA". It matches the Rfam family "Bacterial small subunit ribosomal RNA", at positions 29 to 523 of the family's 1533-position model. The record is from RNAcentral.